GAGUUUGAUCAUGGCUCAGAUUGAACGCUGGCGGCAGGCUUAACACAUGCAAGUCGAGCGGGGGAAGGUAGCUUGCUACUGGACCUAGCGGCGGACGGGUGAGUAAUGCUUAGGAAUCUGCCUAUUAGUGGGGGACAACAUCUCGAAAGGGAUGCUAAUACCGCAUACGUCCUACGGGAGAAAGCAGGGGAUCUUCGGACCUUGCGCUAAUAGAUGAGCCUAAGUCGGAUUAGCUAGUUGGUGGGGUAAAGGCCUACCAAGGCGACGAUCUGUAGCGGGUCUGAGAGGAUGAUCCGCCACACUGGGACUGAGACACGGCCCAGACUCCUACGGGAGGCAGCAGUGGGGAAUAUUGGACAAUGGGGGGAACCCUGAUCCAGCCAUGCCGCGUGUGUGAAGAAGGCCUUAUGGUUGUAAAGCACUUUAAGCGAGGAGGAGGCUACUUUAGUUAAUACCUAGAGAUAGUGGACGUUACUCGCAGAAUAAGCACCGGCUAACUCUGUGCCAGCAGCCGCGGUAAUACAGAGGGUGCGAGCGUUAAUCGGAUUUACUGGGCGUAAAGCGUGCGUAGGCGGCUUAUUAAGUCGGAUGUGAAAUCCCCGAGCUUAACUUGGGAAUUGCAUUCGAUACUGGUGAGCUAGAGUAUGGGAGAGGAUGGUAGAAUUCCAGGUGUAGCGGUGAAAUGCGUAGAGAUCUGGAGGAAUACCGAUGGCGAAGGCAGCCAUCUGGCCUAAUACUGACGCUGAGGUACGAAAGCAUGGGGAGCAAACAGGAUUAGAUACCCUGGUAGUCCAUGCCGUAAACGAUGUCUACUAGCCGUUGGGGCCUUUGAGGCUUUAGUGGCGCAGCUAACGCGAUAAGUAGACCGCCUGGGGAGUACGGUCGCAAGACUAAAACUCAAAUGAAUUGACGGGGGCCCGCACAAGCGGUGGAGCAUGUGGUUUAAUUCGAUGCAACGCGAAGAACCUUACCUGGCCUUGACAUACUAGAAACUUUCCAGAG
RNAcentral lists this ribosomal RNA (1002 nucleotides) under Acinetobacter baumannii. RNAcentral's name for it is "bacterial SSU rRNA". It matches the Rfam family "Bacterial small subunit ribosomal RNA", at positions 9 to 1005 of the family's 1533-position model. Lineage: Bacteria; Pseudomonadati; Pseudomonadota; Gammaproteobacteria; Moraxellales; Moraxellaceae. The record is from RNAcentral.